AAAAGGCCAGACAUUCGCCUGGCCUCUUCGAACCUCUUGCCGCGAUGCCAGUACAUCCGUGGUCAUCAGCGGCGAAAAAGCAUCAGGCAGCGCGCAGCUGGCCUGCGGACAUCUUGCCCGACUUAUUGUCGCGCUCGAGCUCAAAGCCGAGCUUCUGACCUUCGACAAUCGAAUUCAUGCCGGCGCGUUCAACAGCAGAGAUGUGAACGAACACAUCGGCGCUGCCGUCGUCAGGCGCGAUGAAACCGAAGCCCUUGGUGGAAUUGAACCAUUUAACUUUAGAUGAACGCGGCGUGCGUACCGAAAGUCGGCAAACGAGCUGAGUAUACCGCUACGCUUCGAC
This 343-nucleotide small RNA is filed under the name Sinorhizobium meliloti 2011. Its description in RNAcentral is "putative ncRNA". The record is from RNAcentral. Lineage: Bacteria; Pseudomonadati; Pseudomonadota; Alphaproteobacteria; Hyphomicrobiales; Rhizobiaceae.